This 593-nucleotide ribosomal RNA is filed under the name Debaryomyces hansenii. RNAcentral's name for it is "eukaryotic LSU rRNA". It matches the Rfam family "Eukaryotic large subunit ribosomal RNA", at positions 50 to 658 of the family's 3401-position model. The record is from RNAcentral. Lineage: Eukaryota; Fungi; Ascomycota; Pichiomycetes; Serinales; Debaryomycetaceae.
GCGGAGGAAAAGAAACCAACAGGGAUUGCCUUAGUAACGGCGAGUGAAGCGGCAAAAGCUCAAAUUUGAAAUCUGGCACCUUCGGUGUCCGAGUUGUAAUUUGAAGAAGGUAACUUUGGAGUUGGCUCUUGUCUAUGUUCCUUGGAACAGGACGUCACAGAGGGUGAGAAUCCCGUGCGAUGAGAUGCCCAAUUCUAUGUAAAGUGCUUUCGAAGAGUCGAGUUGUUUGGGAAUGCAGCUCUAAGUGGGUGGUAAAUUCCAUCUAAAGCUAAAUAUUGGCGAGAGACCGAUAGCGAACAAGUACAGUGAUGGAAAGAUGAAAAGAACUUUGAAAAGAGAGUGAAAAAGUACGUGAAAUUGUUGAAAGGGAAGGGCUUGAGAUCAGACUUGGUAUUUUGCGAUCCUUUCCUUCUUGGUUGGGUUCCUCGCAGCUUACUGGGCCAGCAUCGGUUUGGAUGGUAGGAUAAUGACUAAGGAAUGUGGCUCUACUUCGGUGGAGUGUUAUAGCCUUGGUUGAUACUGCCUGUCUAGACCGAGGACUGCGUCUUUUGACUAGGAUGUUGGCAUAAUGAUCUUAAGCCACCCGUCUUGAA